This 198-nucleotide ribosomal RNA is filed under the name uncultured bacterium. Its description in RNAcentral is "partial 16S ribosomal RNA". It matches the Rfam family "Bacterial small subunit ribosomal RNA", at positions 328 to 539 of the family's 1533-position model. The record is from RNAcentral.
ACGCUCGACACCUACUGGAGGCAGCAGUGGGGAAUAUUGCACAAUGGGGGAAACCCUGAUGCAGCGACGCCGCGUGGAGGAAGAAGGUCUUCGGAUUGUAAACUCCUGUUGUUGGGGAAAAAGAGGAUGGUACCCAACAAGGAAGUGACGGCUAACUACGUGCCAGCAGCAGCGGUAAUCUGAGCGGGCUGGCAAGGC